GACGAACGCUGGCGGCGUGCUUAACACAUGCAAGUCGAACGGAAAGGCCCUGCUUGCAGGGUGCUCGAGUGGCGAACGGGUGAGUAACACGUGGGUGAUCUGCCCCUUACUUUGGGAUAAGCCUGGGAAACUGGGUCUAAUACUGGAUAAGACCAUGCUGUAGGUGGUGUGGUGGAAAGAUUAGUUUCGGUAAGGGAUGAGCUCGCGGCCUAUCAGCUUGUUGGUGGGGUAAUGGCCUACCAAGGCGUCGACGGGUAGCCGGCCUGAGAGGGUGGACGGCCACAUUGGGACUGAGAUACGGCCCAGACUCCUACGGGAGGCAGCAGUGGGGAAUAUUGCACAAUGGGCGCAAGCCUGAUGCAGCGACGCCGCGUGGGGGAUGACGGCCUUCGGGUUGUAAACUCCUUUCAGCCAUGACGAAGCCCUUGUGGUGACGGUAGUGGUAGAAGAAGCACCGGCUAACUACGUG
This 469-nucleotide ribosomal RNA is filed under the name uncultured bacterium. RNAcentral describes it as "partial 16S ribosomal RNA". It matches the Rfam family "Bacterial small subunit ribosomal RNA", at positions 28 to 507 of the family's 1533-position model. The record is from RNAcentral.